GGUGCGGGUGGAAAGUUUUUCGGUCAAGGAUGGACUCGCGGCCUAUCAGCUUGUUGGUGAGGUAAUGGCUCACCAAGGCGACGACGGGUAGCCGGCCUGAGAGGGUGACCGGCCACACUGGGACUGAGACACGGCCCAGACUCCUACGGGAGGCAGCAGUGGGGAAUAUUGCACAAUGGGCGAAAGCCUGAUGCAGCAACGCCGCGUGGGGGAUGACGGCCUUCGGGUUGUAAACCUCUUUUAGUAGGGAAGAAGGACUUCGGUUUGACGGUACCUGCAGAAAAAGCACCGGCUAACUACGUGCCAGCAGCCGCGGUAAUACGUAGGGUGCAAGCGUUGUCCGGAAUUAUUGGGCGUAAAGAGCUCGUAGGCGGUUUGUCGCGUCUGCUGUGAAAACCCGAGGCUCAACCUCGGGCCUGCAGUGGGUACGGGCAGACUAGAGUGCGGUAGGGGAGAAUGGAAUUCCUGGUGUAGCGGUGGAAUGCGCAGAUAUCAGGAGGAACACCGAUGGCGAAGGCAGUUCUCUGGGCCGUUACUGACGCUGAGGAGCGAAAGCGUGGGGAGCGAAC
Molecule: ribosomal RNA, 569 nt
Filed under: Rathayibacter sp. EECC-57
Lineage: Bacteria; Bacillati; Actinomycetota; Actinomycetes; Micrococcales; Microbacteriaceae
Description: bacterial SSU rRNA
Rfam family: Bacterial small subunit ribosomal RNA
Source: RNAcentral